GACGAACGCUGGCGGCGUGCCUAAUACAUGCAAGUAGAACGCUGAAGGAGGAGCUUGCUUCUCUGGAUGAGUUGCGAACGGGUGAGUAACGCGUAGGUAACCUGCCUGGUAGCGGGGGAUAACUAUUGGAAACGAUAGCUAAUACCGCAUAAUAGCAGUUGUUGCAUGACAACUGUUUGAAAGGUGCAAUUGCACCACUACCAGAUGGACCUGCGUUGUAUUAGCUAGUUGGUGGGGUAACGGCUCACCAAGGCGACGAUACAUAGCCGACCUGAGAGGGUGAUCGGCCACACUGGGACUGAGACACGGCCCAGACUCCUACGGGAGGCAGCAGUAGGGAAUCUUCGGCAAUGGACGGAAGUCUGACCGAGCAACGCCGCGUGAGUGAAGAAGGUUUUCGGAUCGUAAAGCUCUGUUGUAAGAGAAGAACGAGUGUGGGAGUGGAAAGUUCACACUGUGACGGUAUCUUACCAGAAAGAGACGGCUAACUACGUG
This 495-nucleotide ribosomal RNA is filed under the name uncultured bacterium. RNAcentral's name for it is "partial 16S ribosomal RNA". It matches the Rfam family "Bacterial small subunit ribosomal RNA", at positions 28 to 507 of the family's 1533-position model. The record is from RNAcentral.